GCCAGACUCCUACGGGAGGCAGCAGUGGGGAAUAUUGCGCAAUGGGGGCAACCCUGACGCAGCAACGCCGCGUGAUUGAAGAAGGCCUUCGGGUUGUAAAGAUCUUUAAUCAGGGACGAAAAAUGACGGUACCUGAAGAAUAAGCUCCGGCUAACUACGUGCCAGCAGCCGCGGUAAUACGUAGGGAGCAAGCGUUAUCCGGAUUUACUGGGUGUAAAGGGCGUGCAGCCGGGCUGACAAGUCAGAUGUGAAAUCCCGCGGCUCAACCGCGGAACUGCAUUUGAAACUGUCAGUCUUGAGUACCGGAGAGGUCAUCGGAAUUCCUUGUGUAGCGGUGAAAUGCGUAGAUAUAAGGAAGAACACCAGUGGCGAAGGCGGAUGACUGGACGGCAACUGACGGUGAGGCGCGAAAGCGUGGGGAGCAAACAGGAUUAGAUACCCCGGUA
RNAcentral lists this ribosomal RNA (446 nucleotides) under uncultured bacterium. RNAcentral describes it as "bacterial SSU rRNA". It matches the Rfam family "Bacterial small subunit ribosomal RNA", at positions 330 to 792 of the family's 1533-position model. The record is from RNAcentral.